UGAUUCCCCCCACACGUGGGAAUCUAGAGCCCGGCCCCAGAUUCUCUCUAGGGGGAGGCAGCAGGUGGGGAAUUCGGACCAAUUGGCGAACGCCUGAUCCAGGCCAUGCCGCGUGAAGUGAAGAACGCUUCGGUUGUAAGCUUCUUUCCAGGUGGAAAGAAAAACCUUCCCGGGUGAAUACCCCGGGAGGCUGACGGUACCAUCAGAAGAAGCACCGGCUAACUACGUGCCAGCAGCCGCGGUAAUACGUAGGGUGCGAGCGUUAAUCGGAAUUACUGGGCGUAAAGCGUGCGCAGGCGGUUAUGUAAGACAGAUGUGAAAUCCCCGGGCUCAACCUGGGAACUGCGUUUGUGACUGCAUAACUAGAGUACGGCAGAGGGAGGUGGAAUUCCGCGUGUAGCAGUGAAAUGCGUAGAUAUGCGGAGGAACACCGAUGGCGAAGGCAGCCUCCUGGGCCAGUACUGACGCUCAUGCACGAAAGCGUGGGGAGCAAACAGGAUUAGAUACCCUGGUAGUCCACGCCCUAAACGAUGUCAACUAGUUGUUCGGUGAGGAGACUCAUUGAGUAACGCAGCUAACGCGUGAAGUUGACCGCCUGGGGAGUACGGCCGCAAGGUUAAAACUCAAAGGAAUUGACGGGGACCCGCACAAGCGGUGGAUGAUGUGGAUUAAUUCGAUGCAACGCGAAAAACCUUACCUACCC
Molecule: ribosomal RNA, 703 nt
Filed under: uncultured bacterium
Lineage: Bacteria
Description: bacterial SSU rRNA
Rfam family: Bacterial small subunit ribosomal RNA
Source: RNAcentral